This 403-nucleotide ribosomal RNA is filed under the name uncultured bacterium. RNAcentral's name for it is "partial 16S ribosomal RNA". It matches the Rfam family "Bacterial small subunit ribosomal RNA", at positions 30 to 526 of the family's 1533-position model. The record is from RNAcentral.
AUUGAACGCUGGCGGCAGGCCUAACACAUGCAAGUCGAGCGAGCGGCGGACGGGUGAGUAAUGUAUGGGGACUGCCCGAUAGAGGGGGAUAACUACUGGAAACGGUAGCUAAUACCGCAUCCUCUCGGAUAACCCAUAAGGUAUUAGCUAGUAGGUGUGGUAAUGGCUCACCUAGGCGACGAUACCUAGCUGGUCUGAGAGGAUGAUCAGCCAGACUGGGACUGAGACACGGCCAAGACUCCUACGGAGGAAGCAGUGAGGAAUCUUGCACAACGGGCGCAAGCCUGAAGCAGCCAUGCCGCGUGUAUGAAGAAGGCCAUAGGGGUGUAAAGUACAUUCAGUCGGGAGGCGUUACCGACAGAAGAAGCACCGGCUAACUCCGUGCCAGCAGCCGCGGUAAUUC